GUGCUUGCUUUGGCAGUACACAUAAAAACAUUUAAAUGACAUAGAAUAAAUACCCUGGCCCCUGCACAAAGACGACACCCAAGUCCAUGAUGGUCUCAUAUUCAU
This is a small nuclear RNA of Piliocolobus tephrosceles (Ugandan red Colobus), 105 nucleotides long. The record is from Ensembl. Lineage: Eukaryota; Metazoa; Chordata; Mammalia; Primates; Cercopithecidae.